This 520-nucleotide ribosomal RNA is filed under the name uncultured Archaeospora. RNAcentral describes it as "SSU rRNA". It matches the Rfam family "Eukaryotic small subunit ribosomal RNA", at positions 569 to 1097 of the family's 1831-position model. The record is from RNAcentral. Lineage: Eukaryota; Fungi; Glomeromycota; Glomeromycetes; Archaeosporales; Archaeosporaceae.
AGCAGCCGCGGUAAUUCCAGCUCCAAUAGCGUAUAUUAAAGUUGUUGCAGUUAAAAAGCUCGUAGUUGAAUUUUAGGCCUGACCGGGCGGUCCGUCUCUGGCGAGUACUGUCUGUUGUCGGGUCUAUCCUUCUGGUGAGCCGGUAUGCCCUCUAUUGGGUGUGUCAGGGAACCAGGACCAUUACCUUGAAAAAUUAGAGUGUUUAAAGCGGGCUUUUGCUUGAAUAGAUUAGCAUGGAAUAAUAGAAUAGGACGUUGGUUCUAUUUUGUUGGUCUAGGACCACCGUAAUGAUUAAUAGGGAUAGUUGGGGGCAUUAGUAUUCAAUUGUCAGAGGUGAAAUUCUUGGAUUUAUUGAAGACUAACUACUGCGAAAGCGUUUGCCAAGGAUGUUUUCAUUAAUCAAGAACGAAAGUUAGGGGAUCGAAGACGAUCAGAUACCGUCGUAGUCUUAACCAUAAACUAUGCCGACUAGGAAUCGGGCGACGUUAUUCUCAUGACUCGCUCGGCGCCUUAUGGGAAA